RNAcentral lists this ribosomal RNA (465 nucleotides) under uncultured bacterium. RNAcentral's name for it is "partial 16S ribosomal RNA". It matches the Rfam family "Bacterial small subunit ribosomal RNA", at positions 339 to 795 of the family's 1533-position model. The record is from RNAcentral.
CUACGGGUGGCACCAGUGGGGAAUAUUGGACAAUGGGGGAAACCCUGAUCCAGCAAUGCCGCGUGUGUGAAGAAGGCCUGCGGGUUGUAAAGCACUUUCGGUUGGGAGGACUGCUUCUAGCACUAAUAUUGUUGGAAGUUGACGUUACCUUCAGAAGAAGCACCGGCUAACUCGGUGCCAGCAGCCGCGGUAAUACGGAUGGUGCAAGCGUUAAUCGGAAUUACUGGGCGUAAAGCGCGCGUAGGCGGCUAGAUCAGUCGGGUGUGAAAGCCCCGGGCUUAACCUGGGAACUGCAUCCGGUACCGUCUAGCUUGAGUACAGGAGAGGAGAGUGGAAUUCCACAUGUAGCGGUGAAAUGCGUAGAUAUGUGGAGGAACACCAAUGGCGAAGGCAGCUCUCUGGCCUGAUACUGACGCUGAGGUGCGAAAGCGUGGGGAGCAAACAGGAUUAGAUACCCGCGUAGUC